RNAcentral lists this ribosomal RNA (459 nucleotides) under uncultured bacterium. Its description in RNAcentral is "partial 16S ribosomal RNA". It matches the Rfam family "Bacterial small subunit ribosomal RNA", at positions 339 to 795 of the family's 1533-position model. The record is from RNAcentral.
CUACGGGUUGCAGCAGUAAGGAAUAUUGGUCAAUGGACGCAAGUCUGAACCAGCCAUGCCGCGUGAAGGAUUAAGGUCCUCUGGAUUGUAAACUUCUUUUAUUUGGGACGAAAAAGGGUCUUUCUAGACCAACUGACGGUACCAGAUGAAUAAGCACCGGCUAACUCCGUGCCAGCAGCCGCGGUAAUACGGAGGGUGCAAGCGUUAUCCGGAUUCACUGGGUUUAAAGGGUGCGUAGGCGGGUAGGUAAGUCAGUGGUGAAAUCCUAGAGCUUAACUCUAGAACUGCCAUUGAUACUAUCUAUCUUGAAUAUUGUGGAGGUAAGCGGAAUAUGUCAUGUAGCGGUGAGAUGCUUAGAUAUGACAUAGAACACCUAUUGCGAAGGCAGCUUACUACGCAUAUAUUGACGCUGAGGCACGAAAGCGUGGGGAUCAAACAGGAUUAGAUACCCUAGUAGUC